Molecule: ribosomal RNA, 497 nt
Filed under: uncultured bacterium
Lineage: Bacteria
Description: partial 16S ribosomal RNA
Rfam family: Bacterial small subunit ribosomal RNA
Source: RNAcentral
GAUGAACGCUGGCGGCGUGCCUAAUACAUGCAAGUCGAGCGAACAGACGAGGCUCUUGCGCCUCUGACGUUAGCGGCGGACGGGUGAGUAACACGUGGAUAACCUACCUAUAAGACUGGGAUAACUUCGGGAAACCGGAGCUUAGACCGGAUAAUAUAUUGAAGCGCAUGGUUCAAUAGUGAAAGACGGUUUUGCUGUCACUUAUAGCUGCAUCCGAGCCGCAUUAGCUAGUUGGUAAGGUAACGGCCUACCAAGGCAACGAUGCGUAGCCGAACUGAGAGAGGGAUAGGCCACACUAGAACAGAGACACGGUCAAGACGACUACGAGAGGGAGCAGUAGGGAAUCUUCCGCAAUGGGCGAAAGUCUGACAGAGCAAGGCGGCGUGAGAGGUGAAGGCGUCCGGAUCGGAAAGCUCUGUUAUGAGGGAUGAACAAAUUUGUAAGUAACUGUGCCCGUAGUGACGGUACCUAGUAAAAAAGCAACGGCUAACUACGUG